This 406-nucleotide ribosomal RNA is filed under the name uncultured bacterium. RNAcentral's name for it is "partial 16S ribosomal RNA". It matches the Rfam family "Bacterial small subunit ribosomal RNA", at positions 30 to 526 of the family's 1533-position model. The record is from RNAcentral.
AUUGAACGCUGGCGGCAGGCCUAACACAUGCAAGUCGAACGAGUGGCGGACGGGUGAGUAAUGUCUGGGAAACUGCCCGCUGGAGGGGGAUAACAACUGGAAACGGUAGCGAAUACCGCAUACCAGCGGAUGUGCCCAGAUGGGAUUAGCUAGUAGGUUGGGUAACGGCUCACCUAGGCGAAGAUCCCUAGCUGGUCUGAGAGGAUGGCCAGCCACACGGGAACGUAGACACGGUCCAGACUCCUACGGGCGGCAGCAGUGGGGAAUAUUGCCCAAUGGGCGCAAGCCUGAUACAGCCAUGCCGCGUGUAUGAAGAAGGCCUUCGGGUUGUAGAGUACUUUCGGCGAGGAGGCGUUACUCGAAGAAUAAGCCCCGGCUAACUCCGUGCCAGCAGCCGCGGUAAUAC